CUUAAAGUCUGAAUAGGUUAUCUGUUGUUUAUACUAAGUCGUAAGUGUACAGUCGCGGGAGAUUCCCGGAUUUGGGGAAGUUCCAUUAACUUGGGGUUACCACAGUAUAUUGUGUACUGCAAGAGUCGUAGUAUAGCCUUGAAGCUUGUUUAUGCAUUAUUGUUAUUGUAAUUCGUCUGGGACAAAAUGGCGCAAACAUAUUAUGCA
Pelobates cultripes (western spadefoot toad) is the source of this 207-nucleotide non-coding RNA. The record is from the annotation of a GenBank genome assembly. Lineage: Eukaryota; Metazoa; Chordata; Amphibia; Anura; Pelobatidae.